CUAAAUGCGGAAGAGAUAAGUGCUGAAAGCAUCUAAGCACGAAACUUGCCCCGAGAUGAGUUCUCCCUGACCCUUUAAGGGUCCUGAAGGAACGUUGAAGACGACGACGUUGAUAGGCCGGGUGUGUAAGCGCAGCGAUGCGUUGAGCUAACCGGUACUAAUGAACCGUGAGGCUUAACCUUACAACGCCGAAGGUGUUU
This 200-nucleotide ribosomal RNA is filed under the name Escherichia coli. RNAcentral's name for it is "partial 23S ribosomal RNA". It matches the Rfam family "Bacterial large subunit ribosomal RNA", at positions 2749 to 2925 of the family's 2925-position model. The record is from RNAcentral. Lineage: Bacteria; Pseudomonadati; Pseudomonadota; Gammaproteobacteria; Enterobacterales; Enterobacteriaceae.